GAUGCUGACGAGUGGCGAACGGGUGAGUAAUACAUCGGAACGUGCCCGAGAGUGGGGGAUAACGAAGCGAAAGCUUUGCUAAUACCGCAUACGAUCUCAGGAUGAAAGCAGGGGACCGCAAGGCCUUGCGCUCACGGAGCGGCCGAUGGCAGAUUAGGUAGUUGGUGGGAUAAAAGCUUACCAAGCCGACGAUCUGUAGCUGGUCUGAGAGGACGACCAGCCACACUGGGACUGAGACACGGCCCAGACUCCUACGGGAGGCAGCAGUGGGGAAUUUUGGACAAUGGGCGCAAGCCUGAUCCAGCCAUGCCGCGUGCAGGAUGAAGGCCUUCGGGUUGUAAACUGCUUUUGUACGGAACGAAAAGACUCUGGUUAAUACCUGGGGUCCAUGACGGUACCGUAAGAAUAAGCACCGGCUAACUACGUGCCAGCAGCCGCGGUAAUACGUAGGGUGCGAGCGUUAAUCGGAAUUACUGGGCGUAAAGCGUGCGCAGGCGGUUAUGUAAGACAGAUGUGAAAUCCCCGGGCUCAACCUGGGAACUGCAUUUGUGACUGCAUAGCUAGAGUACGGCAGAGGGGGAUGGAAUUCCGCGUGUAGCAGUGAAAUGCGUAGAUAUGCGGAGGAACACCGAUGGCGAAGGCAAUCCCCUGGGCCUGUACUGACGCUCAUGCACGAAAGCGUGGGGAGUAAACAGGAUUAGAUACCCUGGUAGUCCACGCCCUAAACGAUGUCAACUGGUUGUUGGGUCUUCACU
Molecule: ribosomal RNA, 755 nt
Filed under: uncultured bacterium
Lineage: Bacteria
Description: bacterial SSU rRNA
Rfam family: Bacterial small subunit ribosomal RNA
Source: RNAcentral